RNAcentral lists this long non-coding RNA (303 nucleotides) under Bos taurus (domestic cattle). RNAcentral's name for it is "long non-coding RNA NONBTAT025782". The record is from RNAcentral. Lineage: Eukaryota; Metazoa; Chordata; Mammalia; Artiodactyla; Bovidae.
GAUGCUAUUAUGUAUUUCCUGACCAGAUGGCAGUUUUCCAUCCACUUACAACAACCUAGAGUGUGACAUGUAAUUCUUCACUCUCUAUUAAUACUAUAUUUUCCAGUUAAAAACAUUUAUUUUACUUGCAUUUAUUGAAAUGGAAAAUAUCAGUCACUGAUCAACAUCCUUCCAUCCCUAUCCACUCCCAAAUUUGGGUUAGUGCAUUCUUUAUGUAUAAUAAAACUUUCAAGUUAACAUAGUUUAAUUACAAUAUUUUAGUAUCUCUGCAAAAAUCUAUGUUAAUGUUAAUCAACUGCAAAA